GUUCAUGAUGAGGUGAAAGACAAAGCCUUUGAGCUGGAGCUUAGCUGGGUUGGAGAAGUCACAAAAGGAAAGCACGAGCUUGUCCCCAAAGACAUCAAAGAGGAAGCUGAGAAAUAUGCUAAAGAAUCCCUGGAGGAGGAGGAUGACUCUGAUGAGGACAACAUGUAAACAGCAUUGCAAACCUGUUUUGCCAUUUCACUGACUGUGUACUAGGUUUCAGACAUCCUGGCAACUCUCAACUUCACUGCAGACAAUAAAAUGUUUUUUUAUGUUUUGUAAUGGACUAAUGUAGUCCUAUGUUUUCCUUUCAGACUUAACAAUAAAUACGAUUUAUAAAAGAGA
Molecule: long non-coding RNA, 342 nt
Organism: Sinocyclocheilus anshuiensis
Lineage: Eukaryota; Metazoa; Chordata; Actinopteri; Cypriniformes; Cyprinidae
Exons: 3
Source: RefSeq, a predicted model, not a curated record